This 1063-nucleotide ribosomal RNA is filed under the name Fellhanera subtilis. RNAcentral's name for it is "eukaryotic LSU rRNA". It matches the Rfam family "Eukaryotic large subunit ribosomal RNA", at positions 1 to 1081 of the family's 3401-position model. Lineage: Eukaryota; Fungi; Ascomycota; Lecanoromycetes; Lecanorales; Pilocarpaceae. The record is from RNAcentral.
AUUUGACCUCGGAUCAGGUAGGGAUACCCGCUGAACUUAAGCAUAUCAAUAAGCGGAGGAAAAGAAACCAACAGGGAUUGCCUCAGUAACGGCGAGUGAAGCGGCAACAGCUCAAAUUUGAAAUCUGGCUCCUUUGGGGUCCGAGUUGUAAUUUGUAGAGGGUGUUUCGGGCGCGGUGCCGGUUCAAGUCCCCUGGAACGGGGCGUCAUAGAGGGUGAGAAUCCCGUAUGUGACCGGAAGCCAAGCCUGGGUGAAACCCCUUCGACGAGUCGAGUUGUUUGGGAAUGCAGCUCUAAAUGGGUGGUAAAUUCCAUCUAAAGCUAAAUACCGGCCAGAGACCGAUAGCGCACAAGUAGAGUGAUCGAAAGAUGAAAAGCACUUUGGAAAGAGAGUUAAAAAGUACGUGAAAUUGUUGAAAGGGAAGCGCUUGCGACCAGACCUGCGCGGGGGCGAUCAACGGCCGUUCUCGGCCGUGCACUCGUCCCCGAUCAGGCCAGCAUCGGUUCGGGCGGUCGGACAAAGGCCUCGGGAAUGUAGCUCCCUCCGGGGAGUGUUAUAGCCCGAGGUGCAAUGCGGCCAGCCCGGACCGAGGACCGCGCUUCGGCAAGGAUGCUGGCGUAAUGGUCGUCAGCGACCCGUCUUGAAACACGGACCAAGGAGUCUAACAUCUGUGCGAGUGUUUGGGCGAAAAACCCAUACGCGCAAUGAAAGUGAACGUAGGUGGGAGCCCUUAAGGGUGCACCAUCGACCGAUCCAGAUCUUCUGGGAUGGAUUUGAGUACGAGCAUAGCUGUUGGGACCCGAAAGAAGGUGAACUAUGCUUGAAUAGGGUGAAGCCAGAGGAAACUCUGGUGGAGGCUCGCAGCGGUUCUGACGUGCAAAUCGAUCGUCAAAUUUGGGCAUAGGGGCGAAAGACCAAUCGAACUUUCUAGUAGCUGGUUUCUGCCGAAGUUUCCCUCAGGAUAGCAGUAACGUCUUCAGUUUUAUGAGGUAAAGCGAAUGAUUAGAGGACUGGGGGGAGCAAAUCCCUUCACCUAUUCUCAAACUUUAAAUAUGUAAGAAGU